CUUACUACUGAGGCACCGGUCAGCUUUGUGAGUCUGAGAAACGGCUGAGAGGCUGUCUGGAUCAUUCCCUGCAAGCUGUAGACCUUUUUUUUUUUCUUAGUACAGAAACUUGAAAUCCUUAGCACUGAUUAUUUUAUCAUCAUAGCUUGAUGCUGCACUUAAACAUAAACCAUGCUUGCAAGAGAAAGGAGCCCUGUAACUGUCUUCUGAGACUCCCUGUGACUUGAGUGUCUUCUUGCCAUGGGGAUCCACUGGCUGCCUUGUCUACCCCAUGAACAAACCAUCAAAUUUCCAGCAUCUCCCUGCGGAAGAACACUGGAUAAGCACCCCUACUGCAAAUGAACUGUUGGAGAACUGUAUUAUAGCAAAGUGUCUGAGGAAGGUGAAGAGGACAAAGGCUGUUCUUAAAAUGAUCAGAGGCCACCUAGAGACAGUUGUGCUGUUACCAUGUCAUGCUUUACUGUGGAGAAAGGAACUGUUGGAAAUAUUGGGGGUUGCUAGCAAUGCAGGUGGAGAAAUAAGAGAUGCAGCGUUGUUUGGGGGUAGAUGGGGGGCUGGUUGGGUCUUUGUGCAGAUAGACCAGUAGUUUGGGGAUGCUGGGUGGUGAACGGAGAGUAUUGGAGGGACCGCACCGAUGUGCAGUGACAAAUUGUGCCCUAUUAGCCUAUAAAAUUAUACCACUACAUAUGAAUAUUCUGCUGUAUAGUAUUCUCACAUAGAGUGCUGUUACCAUAGUAUUAAGCUUAUACUGUUGUUAAAGGCUUUACUAAUUUUCUGCGCCUGUCUAUUUUUGUGUUAUUCUGUUAGAAUAAAAGAGUGGUAUGUUAGGAAUUAUUGUUAGCAUGACUAGCGCCAUCUUGUUCUUCGCCGCCAUUUUGUCUUAGGCAUCCAUCUUGGGUAAUGAAUCUUUUAUUAUAGUGGUUUAUUAUGUAGUAAGAAAUAUGCUGAUGUUAAGGAGACUUGCAUAGAUAUAAUAGCCCUGAGAAUGACCCUGACAAUGUGCUUGGGUGCAUUGUUAUCUCUACAAGAUGUCAAAUGGCUGUGAUUUGUGCUGGGCUAGGAGGCCCAGUUACUGUUAUCUGAAGUUUGGUAUUUCUGUAGAAAUGACUCCCUAACACUCCUUUUCUUCCAAUUAUAUUUUCUAUGAGUUUCUUUGUUCUUAUAGAAAUACUAUGUGAAAUGAUGUAAUUACGAACACGUCACUUGUUAAACCUAUAUGCUGUAACUCUUGGCUAUAAAACAGUGCCUUUCAACUUGCAAUAAACAGAAUAGCUUUUGGAAUCA
This is a long non-coding RNA of Bombina bombina (fire-bellied toad), 1284 nucleotides long. RefSeq lists it as uncharacterized. The transcript is spliced from 2 exons. The record is from RefSeq and is a predicted model, not a curated record. Lineage: Eukaryota; Metazoa; Chordata; Amphibia; Anura; Bombinatoridae.